CUUCCCUUUGUCGGACCAAAGAAGUAAACACUGUGUGGAGAGGGACUGACGUGUUUGGAGGGAAAUGGGAAUGUACACGAUAAUUAAAGAGUAAAGUUGUGCUCAACGGUAAGUCUGUUUACUUCUAAUUAUUUCCUGAUUCACAAAUUAAUUUUUGCAAUUCACAACUUCAAGAAUACUUGGACUAUUGGAUUCAAUCCAUAGUAAUCUGCAAAAGAAGAGAAGCAGAAUUAUACCUAGAAGUCUACUAAUGGACAGUUAGUCACCCACCUACAUGUUGAGAUUCCUGACAUUCAGACAACUGACUUGUAACUGACUUAUAACUGACUUGUAAUACACUGCUACUAUAUCAAACCGACAAUGAAUUGGAAUGAAAAACCAAAGAGUGCUACAUUACCACCACUGUAUCCUAAAAGCCAGCCACCUUUUUUGCACCAGUCUUUAAUAAACCAAAUUACCACAACAUCUCAGAGUUCUUUCAGCUAUCCUGGAAGUAACCAAGAAGCAUGCAUGUAUCCCGGUAAUUCAAAUCCAAUUUCACAGCCACUGCUGAAUAUCCAAAAUUAUCCUCAACAAAUUUCUGUUUCUGAUAUGCAUAAUGGGACAGUUGUGGCCUCACACACUUCAGUAGAAAGAAUAACAUAUGCAAAUGUUAAUGGACCCAAACAACUAACUCACAAUUUGCAGAUGUCUUCAGGAGUUACCCAAAACGUAUGGUUGAACUCACCAAUGAGGAAUCCUGUGCAUUCUCAUAUAGGGGCAACUGUAUCUCAUCAAACUGAUUUUGGAGCUAACGUACCCAAUAUGCCGGCACUACAGAGUCAACUGAUAACAUCAGAUACCUAUUCUAUGCAAAUGCAGAUGAUCCCUUCUAAUUCUACACGACUUCCUGUAGCUUACCAAGGAAAUCAGGGACUUAACCAGUCUUUUUCAGAGCAACAGGUUGAUUGGACACAACAGUGUAUAUCUAAGGGACUGACUUACCCAGAUUACAGACCACCUCCAAAGCUAUACCGUUACUCACCACAAAGCUUUUUACCAGAUUCUACCAUUCAAAAACAAAACUUUAUACCACAUACAUCAUUGCAAGUUAAAAAUAGUCAGCUUCUAAAUUCUGUAUUAACUUUACCAUCAAGGCAGACCUCAGCUGUACCAUCACAGCAGUAUGCCACGCAAACUGACAAAAGACCUCCUCCUCCUCCUUACAACUGUAGAUAUGGAAGCCAGCCUUUGCAAAGUACUCAGCAUAUUACUAAACACUUGUCUAUGGAAGUUCCUCAGAGUCGAGAAAUGCUGUCAUCUGAAAUAAGGACCAGCUUUCAACAGCAGUGGCAAAACCCUAAUGAAAAUGUCAGCACAAUUGGAAAUUUCACUAACUUGAAAGUAAAUACCAACAGCAAACAGCCUUUUAACAGUCCCAUUAGAUCUUCUGUGGAUGGUGUUCAGACUCUUGCUCAAACUAAUGAAGAGAAAAUAAUGGAUUCUUGCAAUCCAACUUCAAAUCAAGUACUGGACACAAGUGUUGCAAAAGAAAAGCUAGUAAGGGAUAUUAAAACAUUAGUAGAGAUAAAACAGAAGUUUUCAGAACUUGCAAGGAAAAUUAAAAUCAAUAAAGAUCUUUUGAUGGCAGCAGGUUGUAUUAAAAUGACUAAUACUUCUUAUAGUGAACCAGCUCAGAAUUCUAAAUUGUCUCUAAAACAAACUGCCAAAAUCCAGUCUGGACCCCAGAUAACUCCAGUAAUGCCAGAGAAUGCAGAGAGACAAACACCAACAGUAGUGGAAUCUGCAGAAACAAAUAAGACUCAAUGUAUGUUGAAUUCUGACAUUCAGGAAGUCAAUUGCAGAAGGUUUAACCAAGUUGAUUCUGUUUUACCAAAUCCUGUCUAUUCUGAAAAGCGGCCAAUGCCAGACUCAUCUCAUGAUGUGAAAGUUCUCACUUCAAAGACAUCAGCUGUUGAGAUGACCCAGGCAGUAUUGAAUACUCAGCUUUCAUCAGAAAAUGUUACCAAAGUUGAGCAAAAUUCACCAGCAGUUUGUGAAACAAUUUCUGUUCCCAAGUCCAUGUCCAC
This 2069-nucleotide long non-coding RNA is filed under the name Homo sapiens (human). RNAcentral describes it as "long non-coding RNA NONHSAT162030.1". The record is from RNAcentral. Lineage: Eukaryota; Metazoa; Chordata; Mammalia; Primates; Hominidae.